Molecule: unclassified non-coding RNA, 304 nt
Filed under: uncultured fungus
Lineage: Eukaryota; Fungi
Description: partial contains 5.8S ribosomal RNA, internal transcribed spacer 2, and large subunit ribosomal RNA
Rfam family: 5.8S ribosomal RNA (bases 1-52)
Source: RNAcentral
AACGCACCUUGCGCUCCUUGGUAUUCCGAGGAGCAUGCCUGUUUGAGUGCCAUUAAAUUCUCAACCUUUGUUAACUUUUUAGUUAGCAAGUGGAUUGGAAGUGGGGGCAUGUUGGUUUCUUCAUUGAAAUGAACUCCCCUGAAAUGCAUUAGCUGGUUGCCUUGUGCAAACAUGUCUAUUGGUGUGAUAAUUGUCUACGCCGUGGGCUAUUUGCCGUUUAUAGCACUGCUUAUAAUCGUCUGUUCAUUCAGACAAUACAUGACAAUUUGACCUCAAAUCAGGUAGGACUACCCGCUGAACUUAA